RNAcentral lists this ribosomal RNA (484 nucleotides) under uncultured bacterium. RNAcentral's name for it is "partial 16S ribosomal RNA". It matches the Rfam family "Bacterial small subunit ribosomal RNA", at positions 28 to 507 of the family's 1533-position model. The record is from RNAcentral.
AUUGAACGCUGGCGGUAUGCUUUACACAUGCAAGUCGAACGGCAGCGCGGGCUUCGGCCUGGCGGCGAGUGGCGAACGGGUGAGUAAUGCAUCGGAACGUGGCCAGUAGUGGGGGAUAGCCGGGCGAAAGCCGGAUUAAUACCGCAUACGCCCUGAGGGUCUAAGCGGGGGACCGAAAGACCUCGCGCCAUUGGACCGGCCGAUGUCGGAUUAGCUAGUUGGUGGGGUAAAGGCUUACCAAGGCGACGAUCCGUAGCUGGUCUGAGAGGAUGACCAGCCACACUGGGACUGAGACACGGUCCAGACUCCUACGGGAGGCAGCAGUGGGGAAUUUUGGACAAUGGGGGCAACCCUGAUCCAGCCAUGCCGCGUGCGGGAAGAAGGCCUUCGGGUUGUAAACCGCUUUUGUUCGGGAAGAAAUCCUCUGGGCUAAUACCCCGGGGGGAUGACGGUACCGGAAGAAUAAGCACCGGCUAACUACGUG